UUAUAAUAAGGUGAUGAGGUUCACCUAUUUAAACUGCCAGAAUACUAUUUUUUCUGGAUGAUGACCUCUACUAAUAA
Molecule: non-coding RNA, 77 nt
Filed under: Methanobrevibacter arboriphilus
Lineage: Archaea; Methanobacteriati; Methanobacteriota; Methanobacteria; Methanobacteriales; Methanobacteriaceae
Also listed under: 1 other name
Description: Fluoride sequence
Rfam family: Fluoride riboswitch aptamer (crcB RNA motif)
Source: RNAcentral